UACUUUCCAAUUGUCUGAUUUUUGUGUGGAAAUACUUGGCUAUUGAAAUUUAUGCAAUCUCUUCGUUGAAUUCGUUUCAACAAACCACGUUGCUGCCACUGCCUGGUUGAAGCUAACGUUAUCUCUAGAAUGAAAAGAAUUGGGAAGCCCUGGAUUCUUUGGGUAACUUGGCUGUAGGGGCCUUGCUAGGACAUCUGCCUGUCCAUCUUUUCCUGCUCCCAACAUCCCAUCCCAUCCCCAUGUGGCCCAAAAGAAGAAUCCAGGGCAGAGCUAUGGCUUGAGUCUCAGUUUCUGGGGACUUCCAGUGGAAGAGAGAGACUAGGUGGCGGAUGGCAGCAUAAUUAGUCAGAUAUUAUUUUGCAGAAUUGACCUCUGAAGAUGCUGUGAAUAUACUCAAGUACAGUGGACACUAGGGUUGCGAACGUGAUCUGUGCAGGAUGCACGUUCGCAACCCGCAGCAUUCAAAACCCUCAGCAGUGCAUCUGCGCACGCGCAGGUUGUGAUUUGGGGCUUAUGCGCAAAGUGUGAUUUAGCGCUUCUGCGCAUGCACGGCCGCUGAAACCCAGAAGUAACCUGUUCCGGUACUUUUGGGUUUUGGCACGUCCAUAACCUGAAAAAACGCAACCUGAAGUGUCUGUAACCCGAGAUAUGACUGUAUAUUACAAAUUACCAUUUUUAAUGUGAUCAAUCAUAAGCUGAAUGAACGACUGAAUGUUUGAAUGGAUGAUCGCCAUCAGUAGCCAUCAAUAGCUUUCAGCAGUAGGAGCAGAGUUAUCUCAGAUAAACAGGACAUUGCCUUUGAGAAACCAAGAGGUGAGCUACCUUCCUUGGGUGUUAUGAAUUAACAAGGCAUGAAUUGGCCGAGGCUGCAUAGUCAGGUCUGGAGAGCCCUGUAAUCAUGAUAUCAGCUGGCCUGUCAUGCAACUUCUGGAAGAGUAAAUGGAGAAAGAGGUCUGGAGGACUGAACAACUAGACGCAGGAAAGUUGUAAGAGUUUUGGAUGUAAGACUGUUUUGGGUGAAAACUCCUGCAACAUCCCAAGGAACAGUCCAUCAUUGCGCUGCUCCAAACACUGGAUUACAAGCCUGGUCUGCAGAGCAUGUGUGACUGUUUUGUGUGGUUGACCAGAUGAAUUUAUUUUUUUAAUUGAAAACUGGUACCACUGCCUUGUUCACUGGUCAUCAGCCCCUACUCAGUCUUGGUCUACAUUCAUGGCAUUGAGAUCCAAUUGUGUUUUCCCACCAGCUGCUUAUAUAAAAAGUCUUUCCCUUUUUCUGUUGCCUCAUGUGCCUCCAAAAUCUGUCCUGGAAGGGUGGGGGGGGGUGCUUUGAAGCAGAUUUGGGGGCAGCGGGGAAAAGAAGAGGGGAAGUCUCAUUGUAGGAUCAGAUGUUUGCUUGCAUGAUGUUGGUUAUCGUUCAGUUUGUUUGUUAUAUUUCUUUAUAUCCAAAGCAGUUCACAAAAAUAUGCAAUGAAACAUGAUAGGAAAAUUAGAAGGAUGGAGCAAGAGAAAACCGCCUUUUAAAAAAUUGUAAUAAAGGCAGGCACAGCUGACAAGAAACACAUCAGCCAGCAAUCGCCCGUUUAAAAUCCUGGCUAAAUGAAAAACGAUAGAUUGGUGCCAACCAAACCUGCUUGGGGAGGCAUUAUAAUAACUAGGGCAGCACUGAUAAGAAAGGUCUCUGCUCAGCUCCCACCCACAUAACUUUUGGUGUGCUCAUAUGUACCUUUUGCUAUCCUAUAUAUUAAUAGCUGCCAUUUACUCUCUGGAGGGAAGUAAAACACUGGUUGUGGUGCACACUGGGUAACGCUGCAGAGCCUUGCAGCAUGUUAAUUGCAUCCCUCCAAAGGGCAAGUGCUCUGAGCACACAGGCUCCACCUGACGUAAUAGCAGACACCUUUUUCAUUUCUGCUUACCCAGGUGCCCACAAAAAGGUACAAACCAUUCCCAUGUGUAAGUAGCCUUGAGUUAUACUGAGGCUUAGAAGUGGAGCAGGCAUUUCACCAGGACACACAGUUCCCUUGCCAGACACCACAGACUCACGGGGCUUAAAACAUGAUCGUUAACAGUAGGAAGUUUAUAGAAAGUUAAUCGCAGAGAGAGCGCUAGUCCAACAGUUCUUAAAAGGCCUUGAAUGCGGAUUCAGCUGUCACGUGGGCAGCAAGGUCGAUAAGACAUUUGAAGGCCUAGUUAAAGAAAGAUGCAAAAUGUUUUUCCCCCAGUAAGUAUUUCAGGAACAAAUGCCUGAUUAAAAGAAGCAACAUCUGGAUCCCGUGAAGAUGUUCUAUCGAGUAUAUUCAGGAUUGUCUGUCAUGGGUGUUGAUUGCUAAAUAAUUAGAAAGCAAUGAAAACUCAAGUCCGCUGUCCCUCAGAAGACUGUAGAUACCUUUGAUUGCCAACAUGUAAACUUGGAAGCAUUACAAGAGCUCUGCUGAAUCAGAUCAGGUGCCCAACUAGACUAGGAUCCUGUUUCCCCCAGCUGCCAAUGAGAUACUUAUCAGAAGGUCACAGGCACGGCAUAAGGUCUGGGGUCCUCUCCUGUUGUUGUACCCAGCAACUGGAAUGCAGUGGGAUGUGUCCUCUCAACCUGGAACUUCAGACCUGCUGAUGAAUCUACCUUUCAUGAAUUUGUCUAAUCCCCUUUAAAGCUGUUGACGUUCCCUAACAUUAUGGGGGUCAGAUUUCUAAGAGAAAGGCUAUUUUUUUUUACUUCUGCUGUUGCUUGAUAAAUAAGUUAUUCAUUAUCUAGUUUGUUCUUUGUCUGUACCUGUUUCAUUUCAUACUAACAAAAUUGUGUAUGUAGUGAAUUUUCCAUGAAAAAGAACCCCUUUUUUGAAGCAGUAAUCCCCAAUUCUCCAGUUAAUUUUUUGCAGUUGGCUAGCAAAAUUGCAUGUGUUUUGCUAGCCAAAUCGCAGUAAAGGACUGUAUGUGUGAGAAGCAGUAAUGAGAUUAAUUUUGGUCAAUUAGAUGAUCCUCUAUAAGACUUAAACAUCUGUAUGUGCAGUGCUUUUUUAACAAAUGCGUCUUCAAAGCCCUUUUUGUGAUAUUUGGCUAUUAAUCUACGCCCCAUUUUCUGCAGUGCCUAACUUAUUUCAGGCAUUUCUUGGAGCAUGUGCAUUUUUGAAGCGUGUGGAGAAAGCAGCCGCCAAAUUGAGCUCCAAGUGGAAUAGCAGGUUGUUGUCGUUCUGUCUGCAGCGCUUGCAUCUUGGCCAUUGAUUUGCAGAAUUGAAUCUGAAGUAAUCCAAUUAAGCGAGGAAAGAAUUACAUGACAAGCUUUGCCAUCUAGAUUUGCUUAUCUCAAAAGAGAGUCUGAGGACUCCCGGUGAUCAACGAAAGCAAGUGCAAAAGUGGUUGAUUAAUUUCCUUUUUGCUCUUAUUGUCAAUAUACUGAUGUAGAAAAUCAAAUUUUGUGUCCUUCAGAAUCCAGCAUGCCCAUUCUCUCUCCAGUUUCCUUUUAACAGUACAGCAGCAGCAGCAGCAGCAACAGCAGCAUCUCUGAUUCAAGAAAGCAACCAUAGCAAUUUUCUCCAAAAGGGGCUUUGUGCAUAUUCUGUGCAAGCAGUGAAAAAGCAAAUAGCCUAGCACUGGAUACUGAAUCCAGUAUCCUUUAAAAAACCAGCUUCUGUAUAGAAGUCAUGACCCAGGCCUUGAUCUUCAAGCCAAACUACAGUAUGGACAAGGAGGAGCCAGAGAGUUGAACUAAAUAAGCACCAGCAAUGGACUCAAUCCCUGAAACAGAGUUUGAACUUGACAGUCAGGACAGGGGUAUCCAACCUGAUGCUUUCCAGUUGGUGCUGCAACGAAGCCCAUCAUCCCUGGUCCUUGGCCACGUUGGCUGGGACUGAUGGGAGUUGUAGUCCAACAACACCUGAAGGAUCCCACAUUGACUAUCCCUGAGCUAGGGCUAAGGUAAGAGUUUAAAUCAGGGGUCAGCAAACUUUUUCAGGAGGGGCCGGUCCACUGUCCCUUGGACCUUGUGGGGGGCCGGACUAUAUUUUGGGGAAAAAAUAAUGAAUGAAUUCCUGUGCCCCACAAAUAACCCAGAGAUGCAUUUUAAAUAAAAGCACACAUUCUACUCAUGUAAAAACAGAACGGACCUCCAGAACGAAUUAAGUUCUUAACCUGAGGUACCACUAUACUCAGUCUCCCACUAUUCUCCUGGACUAAAUGACCCGAAGUCAGGGUUCAGCAAACUUUUUCAGCAGGGGACCGGUCCACUGCCCCUCAGGCCUUGUGGGGGGCCGGACUGUAUUUU
Molecule: long non-coding RNA, 4252 nt
Filed under: Podarcis lilfordi (Lilford's wall lizard)
Lineage: Eukaryota; Metazoa; Chordata; Lepidosauria; Squamata; Lacertidae
Source: RNAcentral